This 428-nucleotide ribosomal RNA is filed under the name uncultured prokaryote. Its description in RNAcentral is "bacterial SSU rRNA". It matches the Rfam family "Bacterial small subunit ribosomal RNA", at positions 355 to 774 of the family's 1533-position model. The record is from RNAcentral.
UAACGAAUAUUAGGCAAUGGGCGAAAGCCUGACCCAGCAAUGCCGCGUGAGUGAGGAAGGUUUUCGGACCGUAAAGCUCUGUCGAGCGGGAAGAAAUGCAUAGUGGCUAAUAUCCAUUAUGCUUGACGGUACCGCUAAAGGAAGCACCGGCUAACUCCGUGCCAGCAGCCGCGGUAAUACGGGGGGUGCUAGCGUUGUUCGGAAUCAUUGGGCGUAAAGAGCGUGUAGGCGGCUGGAUAAGUCAGAUGUGAAAGCCCUGGGCUUAACCUAGGAAGUGCAUUUGAAACUGUUCAGCUUGAGUAAGGGAGAGGAAAGUGGAAUUCCUGGUGUAGAGGUGAAAUUCGUAGAUAUCAGGAGGAACACCGGUGGCGAAGGCGACUUUCUGGCCCUAUACUGACGCUGAGACGCGAGAGCGUGGGUAGCAAACA